This is a non-coding RNA of Pelobates cultripes (western spadefoot toad), 213 nucleotides long. The record is from the annotation of a GenBank genome assembly. NCBI's taxonomy places the organism in Eukaryota, Metazoa, Chordata, Amphibia, Anura, Pelobatidae.
AAAAGAUCAUCAGCACUGAUCCGUUUCCCUGCACGUCACACUAAACGCUGAAGCACAGGGUGGCGGAUCAGGAGUCCCUGCAGCACAUGUGAUCGCUCUGACAGGCUGUCAGAGCAAUCACAGCUGCAGGGACAGCGAGUUCGAGGUAAUCUGAAGUUAACUUUAGUAAAUGAUGGACAUUUUCUGUCAUGCGUCCUUAACGGGAGGACAUGC